GGUUGUGUGGUCUAGUGGUAGGAUACCGCGUUGUGGUUAAACAACAAACCCGCGUUGGCCUGGGUUCGAUUCCCAGCACAACCA
This is a non-coding RNA of Lineolata rhizophorae, 84 nucleotides long. The record is from the annotation of a GenBank genome assembly. Lineage: Eukaryota; Fungi; Ascomycota; Dothideomycetes; Lineolatales; Lineolataceae.